GAGGAUGAGACUGAGGAAUUGGAAUUGGAAGAUGGAAAGGAGAGGAAAGAUUGUCUAACUGAUUUCCCGCCUGUUGGCUUGAGGAUGGCUUGAGGAAAAGACACUGUGGAAGAGAUCUGCUUAGUCCCUUUGGCAUGGGGGCAGACAGCCAUUGCCUUCACAUGCUAUUCAUCAUGAACUAUGGUACUUGCACUGCAGUCCCUUGGUCUUGCCUUAACUAGACACUUCAUCCUUUCAUGCACAGGACUUCCCAAAGCUCCUUUGGCUCUGGAACUCUCCAUCUGCUCCUAUCAGUUGCUGGAUAGAGUCUCCAUGGUGUCCUUGAUAACUAUUCUCCUAGGCUCUGGCCCCAGAACACUCUGCAG
Meriones unguiculatus (Mongolian gerbil) is the source of this 365-nucleotide long non-coding RNA. RefSeq lists it as uncharacterized. The transcript has 3 exons. Lineage: Eukaryota; Metazoa; Chordata; Mammalia; Rodentia; Muridae. The record is from RefSeq and is a predicted model, not a curated record.